Molecule: long non-coding RNA, 4679 nt
Organism: Gorilla gorilla gorilla (western lowland gorilla)
Lineage: Eukaryota; Metazoa; Chordata; Mammalia; Primates; Hominidae
Product: arf-GAP with GTPase, ANK repeat and PH domain-containing protein 5
Exons: 14
Source: RefSeq, a predicted model, not a curated record
GGUAACCUCCGGCCCUGGAAGGUUUUGUCUAGCGGGUUCCGGAUGGACUGGUGUUCCCAGCACCCCCCCCCCCCGGCACGUGUCCACGUGUGUGGCCCCGGUACGGUGUAUGCCUUGCCAGUAGGUGACUCAACGUGGCACUGGUUGAGCGCGGGAUGAGGCCUGGCCCUGGCGCGGGGCGUGGGCUGCUGCGGCCCUUUCCUCCCCGCGCCCCUCACGCCCCAGCGGGCCCCUAGCGGUUCCUGUCCACCCGCUCCAUGUCUUUACCCCGGUACUACUUCCACCUGCAAUCGCCUCCUUCUGCGCGCCAGUGGCCUCUGCGUUUCUGUUGAAAGGUACCGACUACGCGGUGCUUCCCAGUUCUGAGGCGAUUUAGUCAGCGGACUCAAGGCGCGCUCCCUGCCUUCCCCGGCCUCCCAGCAGGGGACGAAGUCCCCAACCUGGCUGCCAGUCCAGAUGUUGCAGUACAGGUCUGCCUAGGAGGCCGUUCCCUUCUCCAGUCUGAGAUCUCCCUCGCGGGGCACGUGUCUACCACCCUUAACCCAGGGCUGCCCUGGUUCCACGAUCGGUUACAUGUUGCUGACUGUCCCCAAAAGGUUUCUUUGUAAAAUGUGGGAAAGUCCUUGAAGAGACACCCGGAGCAGUGUCAGGGGCGCUUCCAGGAGCCCCCGCCUCCAGGAGCAGGUCCUAGGGUCUGGAGAGCCGGCCUCAGGGCCACUCCAGGAGGCUGGUGGGGCUGGACUGGCAGAGCCCAGCAUUCUUCUGGUGUGCAUCAUUCCCCUAUGAGUCAGGGAUGAAUCCCAAGGGACUUUUCACUUGUUCUCCUUGUGAGUGAUCGCCUUAAGCGCGACCCAGGUGCGGCCAAGGAGAGAGGUCAGGCCUGAGGCCAGGAGUCUUCUAGAAAAGGCUUUUCUUGUCUUGAAGGCGGGGCAUGGUGGCUCAGCCUGUAAUCCCAGCACUUUGGGAGGCUGAGGCGGGAGAAUGACUUGAGCCCGGGAGGUCGAGGACCGCUGCACUCAGUCUGGGCAACAGAGUGAGACCCUGUCUCAGAAAAAAAAAAAAAAAAAAGCCGCCCUUCAUCUUCCUCUGGACAUCUUGUGGCUGGAAAGGAACCCUAGAACCAGCCACUUGCAACCACAGGAGGAACAAGUCUAAGGAAAAGCCCACCUGCUGAUGAGGGCAGAGCCUCCCAGACCUCCAGCCUGUUCCCACAACACCCCCUCCCUUCCACCUCAGCCACCUUGACCUUCCCAUCAUGCUCCUGCUGCCUCGGUGUCUUCACACCUGCCGCAUUUUCUGCCUGGCAUACUCUCCAUAAAUCACCCUUGCCUAUUGCUCUUCCAAACGUCAGGUCUCAGCGGCCUUGGGUGUGCCGACACACACACACACCCACACACACACAAUGCAUCAGGCCCCUGGUGACACAUUCUCACACCCCCUGUACCUCCUUUUUAGAGUUACAAUGAGCCUUCAUGUGUGCUGCUCCAUAGUGGUGGUUCAUGGGGCUGUAACCAGUCCCUUUUUAGUGCAUGCUCUGUGUCUUCCGCGGUGCUCAGGCAGCACUGGCUAAAUGAUUGCAUGGAGGACCAUCCUUUUGUUCUCCUGAUGGAUGACAGUGAGUUCUCAUUUUCAGGUUUACCAUGGAACCAUCUCUGCAAUGCAGCCCCUUCCACAUUGCCCCAGCCCCAUGGAGCUGGUGCUCCCGUGGCGCUGUGCAAUUGCCUGUUCCUGUGUGCCUCUGCUCCCCUGACACUAGGAGCCCUGGAGGGCAGGGCCAGGUAAAAUACCUGUUUUCUGACAAGACUAGGACUCUUACAUAGACUGCCAUGAACUACAAGAAGUAUAGCAUUGCUCGAAUAACCUGUGGUUAGAGUUACUUGUUAUUGGUAAAUAGCCACUGUGGAGACUAAGGACCAAAAGAAACACAGAAAGAAAUUUUACAGAAGAAAAACAGUGGGCCCAAAGCUGAAAAGAAAAAGAAGCAGCAUCUACAGGAUCUCCAGCUAGGGGAUGAAGAAGAUGCCCGGAAGAGAAAUCCCAAAGCUUUUGCAAUUCAGUCUGCUGUGGGGAUGGCUUGAUCCUUUCACAGGACUCAGGAUUUGAAGACAAAAAAGCAUCAUAUUCCAGUGGUUGAUCAAACUCCACUAGAGCCGCCACCAAUAGUGAUAGUGGUGAUGGGGCCUCCAAAAGUUGGAAAGAGCACUUUGAUAUAAUGCCUCAUUGGGAACUUCACCCGGCAGAAGUUGACCGAGAUCAGAGGCCCUGUGAUGAUCGUGUCAGGUAAAAAGCUCCGACUCACCAUUAUUGAAUGUGGGUGUGACAUUAACAUGAUCUAUUUGGCUGAAGUAGCAGAUCUGGUUGCCAAGCUGUUCUACCUUUCUGGAAUGGUGCAUGGAGAAUAUCAAGACCAAGAAAUCCACAGUCUGGGUCAUUUUAUUACAGUUAUGAAGUUUAGGCCUGUCACAUGGCAGACUUCCCAUCCUUAUAUCCUGGCAGACAGCGUCAGCCUCGAGUUUGACCAGCAACAGGGGUCGGUGUGUCCCUCUGAAUCUGAGAUCGAUGAGGCAGGAGCUGGGGACAGGAUGGCAGGAGCGCCCAUGGCUGCUGCUGUACAGCCUGCUGAGGUGACUGUUGAAGUUGGUGAGGACCUCCACAUGCACCACAUUCGUGACCGGGAGAUGCCUGAAGCUUUGGAGUUUAACCUUUCUGCCAAUCCAGAGGCAAGCACAAUAUUCCAGAGGAACUCUCAAACAGAUGCUUUGGAGUUUAACCCUUCUGCCAAUCCAGAGGCAAGCACAAUAUUCCAGAGGAACUCUCAAACAGAUGUUGUAGAAAUAAGAAGAAGCAACUAUACAAACCAUGUAUCUACUGAGCGUUUCAGUCAACAAUACAGCUUGCGUUCGACAAUAUUCCUUGAUCACAGCACAGCCAGUCAGCAUUAUCUUAUAAUGACAAUAAUAUCUGUGACCUUGGAGAUACCUCAUCAUAUCACACAAAGAGAUGCAGAUAGAUCUUUGAGGACACUUGAUGAACAGUUACACUCAUUUGCGGUUUCCACCGUGCACAUUAUGAAGAAAAGAAAUGGAGGUGGGAGUUUAAAUAACUAUUCCUCCUCCAUUCCAUCGACUCCCAGCACCAGCCAGGAGGACCUUCAGUUCAGUGUUCCUCCCACUGCCAACACACCCACGCCUGUUUGCAAGCAGUCCAUGCGCUGGUCCAACCUGUUUACAUCUGAGAAAGGGAGUGACCCAGACAAAGAGAGGAAAGCCCCGGAGAAUCAUGCUGACACCAUCGGGAGCGGCAGAGCCAUCCCCAUUAAACAGGGCAUGCUCUUAAAGCGAAGUGGGAAAUGGCUGAAGACAUGGAAAAAGAAAUAUGUCACCCUGUGUUCCAAUGGCAUGCUCACCUAUUAUUCAAGCUUAGGUGAUUAUAUGAAGAAUAUUCAUAAAAAAGAGAUUGACCUUCAGACAUCUACCAUCAAAGUCCCAGGAAAGUGGCCAUCCCUAGCCACAUCGGCCUGUGCACCCAUCUCUAGCUCUAAAAGCAAGGACAUGGACACCGGGCUGGGUGACUCCAUAUGCUUCAGCCCCAGUAUCUCCAGCACCACCAGCCCCAAGCUCAACCCGCCCCCCUCUCCUCAUGCCAAUAAAAAGAAACACCGAAAGAAGAAAAGCACCAACAACUUUAUGAUUGUGUCUGCCACUGGCCAAACGUGGCACUUUGAAGCCACGACGUAUGAGGAGCGGGAUGCCUGGGUCCAAGCCAUCCAGAGCCAGAUCCUGGCCAGCCUGCAGUCAUGCGAGAGCAGUAAAAGAAAGUCCCAGCUGACCAGCCAGAGCGAGGCCAUGGCCCUGCAGUCGAUCCAAAACAUGCGUGGGAACUCCUACUGUGUGGACUGUGAGACCCAGAAUCCUACGUGGGCCAGUUUGAACUUGGGAGUCCUCAUGUGUAUUGAAUGCUCAGGAAUCCACCGCAGUCUGGGCACCCGCUUUUCCCGUGUGCGAUCUCUGGAGCUGGAUGACUGGCCAGUUGAGCUCAGGAAGGUUAUGUCAUCUAUUGGCAAUGACCUAGCCAACAGCAUCUGGGAAGGGAGCAGCCAGGGGCAGACGAAACCCUCAAUAGAGUCGACGAGGGAAGAGAAGGAACGGUGGAUCCGUUCCAAAUAUGAGCAUAAGCUCUUUCUGGCCCCACUACCCUGCACUGAGCUGUCCCUGGGCCAGCACCUGCUGCGGGCCACCGCUGAUGAGGACCUGCGGACAGCCAUCCUGCUGCUGGCACAUGGCUCCCGUGAGGAGGUGAACGAGACCCGUAGGGAGGGAGACGGCUGCACGGCGCUCCAUCUGGCCUGCCACAAGGGGAAUGUGGUCCUGGCACAGCUCCUGAUCUGGUACGGGGUGGACGUCAUGGCCCGAGAUGCCCACGGGAACACAGCGCUGACCUACGCCCGGCAGGCCUCCAGCCAGGAGUGCAUCAAUGUGCUUCUGCAGUACGGCUGCCCUGACGAGUGCGUGUAGUAUCUGUUUUAUUUGACUGCAGUCUCCUUGGUGCAAAAACAAAAUGGGAAAAAUAAGGAUAACUCAGAAUUUCAAAAGGAAAUCACAAAUUCAGCUAAUAAUAGCAUUUUCAGUACUUUUCGUAAACUAAGUAAAUACACAAAAUGUUGAUUUUUCUGACCAUAA